This 4877-nucleotide long non-coding RNA is filed under the name Homo sapiens (human). Its description in RNAcentral is "HSALNT0034867". The record is from RNAcentral. Lineage: Eukaryota; Metazoa; Chordata; Mammalia; Primates; Hominidae.
AAAACCCAAGAGGACCGGGUUUGGAUGAACUUGUGGACAGCUGAAUACCUGGAAGUUCCUGGAGAGUGGCACACCCAGGGAGGGCAUGGAAGCUCUGCAUCCCCUUUCCCAUACAUCGCCCUGUGCAUCUUUUCAUCUAUAUCCUUUAUAAUAAACCAGUAACGGUAAGUAAAUGUUGCCCUGAGUUCUGUGAGGCAACUAGCAAAUUAACCAAACCCAAAGAGGGGGUCAUGGGAACCCCAAUUUGAAGCUGGUCAGUCAGAAGGUAAGGAGGCCCAGAUUUACAAUGGACUGGGGACAGUUUUGAAGACUGAGCCCUCAUUCUGUGGGAUUUGAUGCUGUCUCCAGGUAGACAGUGUCAGAAUUUAACUAGAUGGCGCGUAGCUGCUGUCUGCUGUGUUGAUUGUUGUGUGGGAGCAGAGGAAAAACAUGGUUUGAGAGCUUUUCCCUAGGCUUCCAAUACCCUCAGGUGGGUGUCAGGAGCAUUCCUUUUCCUUUUGUGUUUGGCUCAUACCUCUUCCAUCUUUUCUCCAGUAAACUCUGGGAGUGUGGUUAGUUUCCAGCACAGCUUCCUUCCUAGGUUGCUAGCUUGCUUGCUUGCUUGCUUGCUUGCUUGUUUCCUUCCUUCCUUCCUUCUCUCUUUCUUCCCUCCCUCCCUCCCUCCCUUCCUUCUUUCCUUUUUUUAAAAUUUAUUAUUAUUAUCUUGAGACAGAGUCUUGCUCUGUCGCCCAGGCUGGAGUGCAAUGGCACCAUCUCAGCUCACUGCAACCUCCACCUCCCAGGCUCAAGCGAUUCUCAGGUCUUGGCUUCCUGAGUAGCUGGGGUUACAGGCACGCACCACCAUGCCCAGCUAAUUUUUGUGCUUCCAGUAGAGAUGGGGUUUCGCCAUGUUGUCCAGGCUGGUCUCCAACUGCUGACCUCAAGUGAUCUGCCCACCUUGGCCUCCCAAAGUCCCGGGAUUACAGGUGAGAGCCACCACGCCAGACCCUACAGCCUUUUUUCUUGUGCCGCCACUAGAGCAGGGAGCCAGAAACAGUCUCUCUCUUAGGCUCCUUCAGUCAUGAGCCUCCAGUGUUCACAGCUCAAGAUCUAGCGUGGUCCCACCAAAGCCUCUCACCUUGGCCUGGAUGUGAGAGAAAAGCACCCAUUCUCGUUCCCCACAGGAGGGGAUAUAAUGCCAUAAUACUGAAUAUUUUUCCAAAGACAUUUCUGCUCCAAGCUUCUUCAAUUCAACAAUUCUAUGAGAUAUGAGGUAAGUAUAGAUCUAUGGGUUAUUAAAAACAGUCUUUCCUGUGCCAAUCCUACAUAGUAAGUCUAGACCAUAUUUUUCGGAUGUAAGUCUAUUUGCUACUUACUAUAUUUAUAUUUUGUUAAUUAUUUUGGGAAACUGGACAAAAUAGGGUAAGCAUCGUAUGAUACUUAAAACUGCUGAGAAAGAAAUAAUGUUAUUAUUCUACCUUGAUUUUAUAGCUGAGGAAAAUAAGGCAUAAAGAAGUGAAAUAAUGUUUAACCAAUAUUACAUAUUUUAUCAGGGUGCUGGGAACUUAAUUUCUUUGAUUUAUUUCCUGUAGCCAUACCCAUCAUAGUUUUGCUAACAGUGUGACUGGGAGUAGUGAGAUAUAAAAUAAAUUUGGGCCUCAGUUUCCUCACCUUUAACCUAAUUUUCUCAAAAAAUUAACAUAGUAAUGUUAAGUAAAGUCGAUAGCGGGGGCUGGUCCAAUGUGGGUACCCAGAAAAUAGAAGCAUCACCCUUCCUUUACCACUUUUCUCCAUGCUUCUUCCCUAAACCCACACACAUUUCUAAAAAAUUCCAAUAUGAUUUUAAAAUAACAUAUACAUUUACUUAAAUCUUUGAAUUUGAAAUUACAUUUCGAAUUUGAAACAACAUUUGAAUUUGAAACAACAUUUUGACAUCUUUUGUUCUAUUGUAAGUCCUAGGGCAGAAAGGAGACGUCUGGGGGCAGGGUGGAGGUUGCUGUGUCUGAAUGUAAAGAGGGAAAGCUGUGUCUGAAUGUAAAGAUUUGUCAUAUGACAAAUCUUAUGAAGACAUACAUAUAUUCUCGAUUGGAAAGAGAAGAUGAUUUUUGGUUCUACAAUUCUCACUGCUGACCUGUGGAGAAAGGAUUUUGGAAGAAUUACUGCCCACUGGGUAAUUUCAGUGACAGCUUGAUGAAGGAAUGAUGACCUAGUGUGCAUGGGAGAAAGAACUUUGGCCUGGGAGUCAUACCAAGUCUGAAUAAUGGCUCUGUCAUUGCCUCCCUGGGUAAUAUGAGGUCUGAGUCGAGUUAACAUCUGAUGCCUUACCAUCACGCGUGAUGCUAAUCUUGGGAUUUAAGGCCAUGUAUGUCCAGCCUUGGGGAGUUAUUUUGGCACACUUAGGUUUUUAUGUUUUUAGCCUGUAAAAUAUGGAUGUAUAUAAUAUGAUACCCCUGAUCAAUUGCAGAUUUUGUAUUCUGAGACAUGAUACUGCAUUGAUAUCCUCAUAUUAACUUACAUUGUUAAUACUAUUUCAAUUAUAUUCCCAGUGACGAGGAGGAGAAUUUAAGAUAAUGAUUUUUUAAAUGUCAUUACAUUUUCCUAUUUCUAAGAUGGCUGUGACAUUAACAAACAUCAUUAUUUUGAUAACAGCUUUUCCAGGAAACAAUUAUGCUCCCUUAAAUAAACAAAAAUACUGUCCAAUUAGCCAACAGCAUCAUGUAUUUAUAUAAUUAAAUAUUAUUUAAAAUUUUAAUACAUCUUAGAAUCUAAAAUUUCGAAGAAUUGAACAUUUCUUCACAUUCAGGCUCUAAAAACAUAAUUACUAUUGAUUUUUGACUGUUUUGUAUGGCAACAUGGAGACGUACUACUUCUUUAGUAGAUUUGUGAUUGAGACCCAUUUAAUACCAAUAAAAUUAACAGAAUAAUUUUGUGGUAAGAAAAAAAGAUUGAGGUUUUAUCUACAUUUCUGAUUUGAAUAAAAUAAUAGUACAUUUUUUCUCUGAAUUUGUCUAUCAUGUAAAAUUAAACAACUUUUCAUUGUUGCUUGUUUGUUUUGCUUUGUUUUGUUGAGACAGGGUCUUCCCCAUCACCCAGGCUGGAGUGCUGUGGUAUGGUCUUGGCUCACUGCAGCAUUCACCUCUUGGGUUCAGGUGAUCCUCCCACCUCAGCCUCCCAAGUAGCUGGGACUACAGGUGCAACUACCACUCUCAGCUAAUUUUGUUAAUUUUUUUGUAGAGACAAGGUCACGGUAUGUUGCCCAGAUGGUCUCAGACUCCUGGACUCAAGUGAUUCUCCUGUCUUGGCCUCCCAAAGUGCUGGGAUUACAGGAAUGAGCCACCAUGCCUAGCCAGAGGCCACUGACAACUUUUGCCAGGUUGAUUUUUAGUGCCUUGCUAAUGUUCCUUCACUAUGUUAGAAUCAGCCAUGCUCUCUCUCCAGUUUUGCAAAUGCUUGAUCUACUCAAAAAGGUUUGAUAGUUACAAGAGCCUUUAAUUGCAGUGCCUGACAUGUCAGGAAACUCUUCUAUAGUUUUCCUGAUGUCUUGAUGACAAGAAUUUCAGUUACAGUUUUGGGUAUUUUUCUUCUAAAGUCCUAUAAAGUAUUUGGUUGUUGUUUUAUAUUUUUUAAGUUGGUUAUUCUUCCAGUGAUACAAAUUUACUUACCUUCUAAAAGUAAUGUCAGGCCUCUGAGCUCAAGCUAAGCCAUCAUACCCCUGUGACCUGCACGUACGCAUCGAGAUGGCUAGUUCCUGCCUUAACUGAUGACAUUCCACCACAAAAGAAGUGAAAAUGGCCUGUUCCUGCCUUAACUGAUGAUAUUGUCUUGUGAAAUUCCUUCUCCUGGCUCAUCCUGGCUCAAAAGCUCCCCCAGUGAGUACCUUGUGACCCCCACUGCUGCCCGCCAGAGAACAACCCCCUUUGACUGUAAUUUUCCUUUACCACCCAAAUUCUAUAAAACGGCCCCACCCCAUUUCCCUUCGCUGACUCUCUUUUUGGACUCAGCUCGCCUGCACCGAGGUGAAAUAAACAGCCAUGUUGCUCACACAAAGCCUGUUUGGUGGUCUCUUCACAUGGACGCACAUGAAAUUUGGUGCCGUGACUCGGAUCGGAGGACCUCCCUUGGGAGAUCAAUCCCCCAUCCUCCUGUUCUUUGCUCUGUGAGAAAGAUCCACCUAUGACCUCAGGUCCUCAGACCAACCAGCCCAAGAAACAUCUCACCAAUUUCAAAUCCAGUAAGCAGCCUCUUUUUACUCUCUUCUCCAACCUCCCUCACUAUCCCUCAACCUCUUUCUCCUUUCAAUCUUGGUGCCACACUUCAAUCUCUCCCUUCUCUUAAUUUCAAUUCCUUUCAUUUUCUGGUAGAGACAAAGGGGACACGUUUUAUCCGUGGAACCAAAACUCUGGUGCCAGUCAGGGACUAGGGAAGGCAGCCUUCCUUUGGUGUUUAAUCAUUGCAGGGACACCUCUCUGAUUAUUCACCCAGGUUUCAGAGGUGUCAGACCACGCAGGGACACCUGCCUUGGUCCUUCACCCUUAGCAGCAAGUCCCGCUUUUCUGGGGGAGAGGCAAGUACCCCAACUUCGUAUCUCUGUGCCCCGAUCCCUUAUUUCCACGCCCCAACCUCUUAUAUCUCUGCACCCUGAUCCCUUAUUUCCGUGCCCUGACCUCGUAUCUCUGUGCCCUGACCCCUUCUCUGCUUUUCUGGAGGGCAAGAACCCCCCCACCCCUUCUCCGUGUAUCUACUCUUCUCUGGGCUUGCCUCCUUCACUAUGGGCAAGCUUCCACCUUCCAUUCCUCCUUCUCCCUUAGCCUGUGUUCUUAAGAACUUAAAACCUCUUCAACUUUCACCUGACCUAAAAUCUAAGCAUCUUAUUUUCUUCUGCAAUGCCGCUUGACCCC